Molecule: small RNA, 70 nt
Filed under: Paenibacillus sp. P22
Lineage: Bacteria; Bacillati; Bacillota; Bacilli; Caryophanales; Paenibacillaceae
Description: Flavo-1 RNA
Source: RNAcentral
AUAUCGCCGACAUCGAAUCGGAAAUCCGGACGUACGUCAGCGAAAUUGAGGCGGCAGAGGUCGAUAUCGC